UGAAGAUGUUGGGAGUGCUGCACUCCCUAUA
Molecule: small RNA, 31 nt
Filed under: Bombyx mori (domestic silkworm)
Lineage: Eukaryota; Metazoa; Arthropoda; Insecta; Lepidoptera; Bombycidae
Description: ovarian small RNA-30916
Source: RNAcentral